CACGUAGUUAGCCGGGGCUUCUUACUCAGGUACUGUCAUCUUCUUCCCUGCUGAUAGAGCUUUACAUACCGAAAUACUUCUUCACUCACGCGGCGUCGCUGCAUCAGGGUUUCCCCCAUUGUGCAAUAUCCCCCACUGCUGCCUCUCGUAGGAGUUUGGGCCGUGUCUCAGUCCCAAUGUGGCCGUCCGCCCUCUCAGGCCGGCUACUGAUCGUCGCUUUGGUAGGCCGUUACCCUGCCAACUGGCUAAUCAGACGCGGGUCCAUCGUAUGCCACCGGAGUUUUUCACACAAAAGCAUGCGCUCUCGUGCGCUUAUGCGGUGUUAGCUACCUAUUUCUAAGUGUUACUCCCCUGCAUACGGCACGGUUACCCACGCCGUUACUCACCCGUCCGCCACUAACGUUAACACCUUCUCCACUCCUAGCAAGCUAUUUAGCUUUUAAAAAUUGUUAACUCCGUUGACUUGCAUGUGUUAAGCACGCCGCAGUCGUUCACUCCUGAGCCAGGUA
RNAcentral lists this ribosomal RNA (509 nucleotides) under uncultured Lachnospiraceae bacterium. Its description in RNAcentral is "partial 16S ribosomal RNA". Lineage: Bacteria; Bacillati; Bacillota; Clostridia; Lachnospirales; Lachnospiraceae. The record is from RNAcentral.